This 496-nucleotide ribosomal RNA is filed under the name uncultured bacterium. RNAcentral describes it as "partial 16S ribosomal RNA". It matches the Rfam family "Bacterial small subunit ribosomal RNA", at positions 28 to 506 of the family's 1533-position model. The record is from RNAcentral.
GAUGAACGCUGGCGGCGUGCCUAAUACAUGCCAGUCGAGCGAACGGACGAGAAGCUUGCUUCUCUGAUGUUAGCGGCGGACGGGUGAGUAACACGUGGAUAACCUACCUAUAAGACUGGGAUAACUUCGGGAAACCGGAGCUAAUACCGGAUAAUAUUUUGAACCGCAUUUUUCAAAAGUGAAAGACUGUCUUGCUGUCACUUAUAGAUGGAUACGCGCUGCAUUAGCUAGUUGGUAAGGUAACGGCUUACCAAGGCAACGAUGCAUAGCCGACCUGAGAGGGUGAUCAGCCACAGGGGAUCUGAAAAACGGUCCGGCCCCCGACGGGAGGCAGCAGAGGGGAACCUACCGCAAUCGGCGAUAGCCUGACGGAGAAACGCGAGGUAAGUGAAGAAGGUCUUCGGAUCGUAAAACUCUGUUAGUAGGGAAGAACAUAUGUAUAAGUAACUGUGCGAAUCUUAAGGAUACCGAAUCAGAAUGCCACGGCCAACUACGU